Molecule: ribosomal RNA, 456 nt
Filed under: uncultured soil bacterium
Lineage: Bacteria
Description: bacterial SSU rRNA
Rfam family: Bacterial small subunit ribosomal RNA
Source: RNAcentral
AGUCUGAACGCUGGCGGCGUGGCUAAGACAUGCAAGUCGAACGGUGUAGCAAUACACAGUGGCGGACGGGUGAGUAAUGAAUCGCUAAUGUACCCCGAUGUCUGGGAUAGCCAUCCGAAAGGAUGGGUAAUACCAGAUGAGACCACAGAACCGCAUGGUUCGGUGCUCAAAGGGUCACCGCAUUGGGCGCAGGCGAUUUCGAUCAGCUAGUUGGUGAGGUAACGGCUCACCAAGGCGACGACGCGUAGCCGGGCUGAGAGGUCGGCCGGCCACAUUGGGACUGAGACACUGCCCAGACUCCUACGGGGGGCUGCAGUAACGAAUCUUCCGCAAUGCACGAAAGUGUGACGGAGCGACGCCGCGUGUAGGAUGAAGUCCUGGAUGUAAACUACUGUCAGGGAAAGAAAGUUACUGAUCUACCCAGAGAAGAGCGGCUAACUCUGUGCCAGCAGCCGC